CGGGUGAGUAACGCGUGGGUAACCUGCCUCAUACAGGGGGAUAACAGUUAGAAAUGACUGCUAAUACCGCAUAAGCGCACGAGAUCGCAUGAUAAAGUGUGAAAAACUCCGGUGGUAUGAGAUGGACCCGCGUCUGAUUAGCUGGUUGGUGGGGUAACGGCCCACCAAGGCGACGAUCAGUAGCCGACCUGAGAGGGUGACCGGCCACAUUGGGACUGAGACACGGCCCAAACUCCUACGGGAGGCAGCAG
RNAcentral lists this ribosomal RNA (251 nucleotides) under uncultured bacterium. RNAcentral describes it as "partial 16S ribosomal RNA". It matches the Rfam family "Bacterial small subunit ribosomal RNA", at positions 103 to 354 of the family's 1533-position model. The record is from RNAcentral.